Molecule: long non-coding RNA, 780 nt
Filed under: Physcomitrium patens
Lineage: Eukaryota; Viridiplantae; Streptophyta; Bryopsida; Funariales; Funariaceae
Description: long non-coding RNA (PPAT_LNC003263)
Source: RNAcentral
CUUUUGAGGCUAGAUUCAGAAGGUUUAGGGUUUUGGGUAUAAUUUGGGUGAAGAUUUUGUAUGAUUUCGAGUUUUUAUGGAAAAGAUAUGAGUGUUCAAAGAUAAGAUGUCAAUUUCGUACCUACUGUCACUUCUUUUGGGCAUCACAUACGAAUACGGAGAGCAACGGAAGAUCAGCGACUGGAUUUGGAGGGAGCAUUUUCUCGGCUACACAUUCUACUUACUGUAUAGUGAAUUCUAAGAUUGGGUGAAGGAGUUAUGAGGCGUUGAAGACAGCACUUGUAAUUUGAAGGCAGUAAGUAUAUCGUUUUGUUGCUAGUUAUGGGUGAAGCCAUAUCUUGAGUUUCUGGACGAAUUUUUGGCUCAAAAUUUCCACAAGUGUGUAUAAUUGGGUUAAGAAGCUUUAAAUCAAAAUUUCAUAGUAUUUAAAUAAUUACUUUGUGAAAUAUGAAGGAAGUUGUACACGGGUGUAAAAAAGCUAGGGUUUGAAGCUACAGUUAGGGUUUUCAAGAUAUCACAAGAUUCAAGACGAAUUUACGGUUGAAUUUUGGUGUGGUAGUUGCUAAAGAUAUAUCAGUACUCCCUGUACAAUUUGGAGUUGUUUAGACGGUUAGAUCGGAAGUUAUGAGCUGUUGAACUUCGGAAAAAAUUCCUCAUAAGGAUAUAUAAGUUUUUUUAUAACACCUUAUCAAGUAUUUUGGUGUUCUUUGGAUUUUAAGGCUUGUAUAUUGAUGUAAUUGCUCCAAAGGAGAGGAGUUUAUAUAUAUAAAAUUGUUACCC